This 1374-nucleotide ribosomal RNA is filed under the name uncultured bacterium. RNAcentral's name for it is "16S ribosomal RNA". It matches the Rfam family "Bacterial small subunit ribosomal RNA". The record is from RNAcentral.
UUAGAGUUUGAUCCUGGCUCAAGACGACCUUUGGCGGCACGCUUAACACAUGCAAGUCGAACGAGCGGAGAGAAGCUUGCUUUUCAAAGCUAGUGGCGGACGGGUGAGUAACACGUGAGCAAUCUGCCUUUCAGAGGGGGAUACCUGUUGGAAACGACAGUUAAUACCGCAUAAAAUAAUUUUACCGCAUGAUAAAAUUAUCAAAGAUUUAUCGCUGAAAGAUGAGCUCGCGUCUGAUUAGCUAGUUGGUAAGGUAACGGCCUACCAAGGCAACGAUCAGUAGCCGGACUGAGAGGUUGGACGGCCACAUUGGGACUGAGACACGGCCCAGACUCCUACGGGAGGCAGCAGUGGGGAAUAUUGCACAAUGGAGGAAACUCUGAUGCAGCGAUGCCGCGUGAGGGAAGAAGGUUUUAGGAUUGUAAACCUCUGUCUUAGGGGACGAUAAUGACGGUACCCUAGGAGGAAGCUCCGGCUAACUACGUGCCAGCAGCCGCGGUAAUACGUAGGGAGCGAGCGUUGUCCGGAAUUACUGGGUGUAAAGGGAGUGUAGGCGGGACUGCAAGUCAGAUGUGAAAACUAUGGGCUUAACCCAUAGACUGCAUUUGAAACUGCGGUUCUUGAGUGAAGUAGAGGUAAGCGGAAUUCCUAGUGUAGCGGUGAAAUGCGUAGAUAUUAGGAGGAACAUCAGUGGCGAAGGCGGCUUACUGGGCUUUAACUGACGCUGAGGCUCGAAAGCGUGGGGAGCGAACAGGAUUAGAUACCCUGGUAGUCCACGCUGCAAACGGAUGAUUACUUAGGUGUGGGGGGACUGACCCCCUCCCGUGCCGCAGUUAACACAAUAAGUAAUCCACCUGGGGAGUACGGCCGCAAGGCUGAAACUCAAAGGAAUUGACGGGGGCCCGCACAAGCAGUGGAGUAUGUGGAUUAAUUCGAAGCAACGCGAAGAACCUUACCAGGUCUUGACAUCGUAUGCAUAGCUCAGAGAUGAGUGAAAUCCCUUCGGGGACAUAUAGACAGGUGGUGCAUGGUUGUCGUCAGCUCGUGUCGUGAGAUGUUGGGUUAAGUCCCGCAACGAGCGCAACCCUUAUGUUUAGUUGCUACGCAAGAGCACUCUAGACAGACUGCCGUUGACAAAACGGAGGAAGGUGGGGAUGACGUCAAAUCAUCAUGCCCCUUAUGACCUGGGCCUCACACGUACUACAAUGGCUAUAAACAAAGUGAAGCAAGACAGUGAUGUGGAGCAAAACACAAAAAAUAGUCUUAGUUCGGAUUGUAGGCUGCAACCCGCCUACAUGAAGUCGGAAUUGCUAGUAAUCGCAGAUCAGCAUGCUGCGGUGAAUACGUUCCCGGGUCUUGCAAACGCCGCCCGUC